GAGUUGGAAGCUCAGUGGUAGAGCGCAUGCGUUGUACGUAUGAUGUUCUGGGUUCAAUCCACAGCUUCGGCCCA
This is a non-coding RNA of Dallia pectoralis (Alaska blackfish), 74 nucleotides long. Lineage: Eukaryota; Metazoa; Chordata; Actinopteri; Esociformes; Umbridae. The record is from the annotation of a GenBank genome assembly.